This 492-nucleotide ribosomal RNA is filed under the name uncultured bacterium. Its description in RNAcentral is "partial 16S ribosomal RNA". It matches the Rfam family "Bacterial small subunit ribosomal RNA", at positions 28 to 507 of the family's 1533-position model. The record is from RNAcentral.
GAUGAACGCUGGCUACAGGCUUAACACAUGCAAGUCGAGGGGAAACGACAUCGAAUGCUUGCUUUUGAUGGGCGUCGACCGGCGCACGGGUGAGUAACGCGUAUCCAACCUGCCCAUCACUUGGGAAUAACCUUGCGAAAGUAAGACUAAUACCCAAUGACAUCCCACGAAGACAUCUGAAUGGGAUUAAAGAUUUAUCGGUGAUGGAUGGGGAUGCGUCUGAUUAGCUUGUUGGCGGGGUAACGGCCCACCAAGGCAACGAUCAGUAGGGGUUCUGAGAGGAAGGUCCCCCACAUGGGAACUGGGACACGGUCCAUACGCCUACGGGAGGCAGCAGUGUGGAAUAUGAGGCAAUGGGCGAGAGCCUGAACCAGCCAAGUAGCGUGCAGGAUGACGGUGCUAUGGGUUGUAAACUGCUUUUAGAAGGGAAUAAAGUGGGUCUCGGGAGACUUUUUGCAGGUACCUGAUGAAUAAGGACCGGCUAAUUCCGUG